UGAUGCCCUUAUGCUCUGUAACAAGUUUGAGCUUUUUCCAACAAAUAUUUUUCAAGUUAUGAGCAAAAAUUCUCCAGUUCCUAUUCCUACUUUGUGUGUGGUUAUUUAUUCUUUAUUAACUAUCCUACAGGUGUUAACUUCAAACUCAAUUGAAGGACCUUCAGGAACAGCUUUCAAGCUAAGUACUCUUCACUUGAGAAGACUAAGAGUCAUGUUGCUGGUGAACUUGAGGAUGUGAUGCUUGACCUUGAGAAGGAGAGGAACGCUACUGCUGCCUGGGAGAAGAAGAAGAAAGCCAUUGACCAGCAGAUCAAUGAAUGGAAAGCAAAAUAUGAAGGCUCACAACAAGAACUUGAUGCAAGCAAAUUUGAAUCCUGCAUGUACAGCUUUGAGCUACUGAAACUCAAAUCUGAGAACAGUGAUCUCAAAGAUGAAUGGCAACCAAAGACAACAAACAACUACAAAACGAUCUUGCUGAAAUUGAAAAACAAUUAACUGAGGGAGGGACUAGCGUCCACGACCUUGAGAAAGCUAAAAAGAAACUUGAACAAGAAACCAAUCUCAUGAUGGAGAGAACAAAAGGCCAAUUGGAAGUAGAGCAGAACACUGUCUUUGUCUUCAAUUAGAAAUAUCACAGCUCAAACA
RNAcentral lists this unclassified non-coding RNA (645 nucleotides) under Amphimedon queenslandica. RNAcentral's name for it is "myosin heavy chain-like, transcript variant X1". Lineage: Eukaryota; Metazoa; Porifera; Demospongiae; Haplosclerida; Niphatidae. The record is from RNAcentral.